AGCACAGAGACACAGAUGACAAGGGAGUCAGCGCACCCAAGGCCCAUCGCACGGCCAAAGGAAAACUUAUACAUAUGCAACACAGGCCCACUCAGGCUUUUCCACUAGCCAUGCGGAGACACCGUGGCCAGGCUGGGGGAAUCUAUAUUUCACCUUACGUUGCACACAGCUGGGCUCAGACUGGCACCAGUGUGCAUAUGCAAACAAGGCAGUAGCUGUAUUCAUCAGGGCUCCGAGAAGCCAGGAGCCUUCUCUUCUAGAGCAGCAAACAAAGAAAGGUGGGUGGGGCAUGCCAGAGGGGGCGUGGCUGGUAGGCAAGGAGUAGACGGGAAAGAGGCCAUUGGAACAGAGAACAAAUUAUGUCAAAUUAGUGUAGGGGUGUGGGGAACAUUCUCAAAGAGAAGACUUAGAAUCCAAAGGGUUUUGGAGCCAGACGUUCCUCCUAGAACCACGGUCUAAUGGCCUCCUUUUACUGAUGAAAAAACUGAGGGCGAGAGAGGAGAAAUAAUUUGCUGAGAGACAAACACCUAAUCGCAGUUUCUUGUCCAUAGGGGAAUACCGCUGUGUUCAAAUUUAAUUUUUUCUUAUAGAGGUAAAGAAAGAUCAAGGAGAUCCCUAGAUGGUCAGUCCUAUCAAGACCAUGUGAGCACCGUGUGGAGAAAGAAAGAGAAGCCAUAAGCCAUUGUCCUUGCCUUCGACAUGCAAUAAGAAUGUGUUCAAGGAUGUUGAGAUUCACUCAACACAAGGAGAAAGUCGUGAAGGGAACGUGCUACCUGCCAGGUACAUUGGGAGGUCCUCAGCAAAGAACCUGGUCAAGUCCUUCAUUCACUGAGCUUCUGCAGACACUGACAAUCAGCUAUCACACAGCAUGCCCUGUGUCUCUAGACAUGCAUCAGGACACAGCCUCAGCUUUGCAAGAGCUGGUCCCACCUAGGGCACCACCGCAAUAUGGCUGUGAUUAGAACCACAAGACAGACAGUGUCAGAACAGGCACUUCCGCAGAUGCCUGUUGGCCUGUUUUCUCCAGUCUUCCACUCGGGCUACAAGUUGCCAAACACCUUGGGAUAGGGCCGUUUGGUCAAACUAUAGCAUCUACCAAUGGUCAGUACAAAUUUUUGUCUUUGCCUAUAAAUUUGGGGGAAACUGAAAGGAAUCCUGGGCUUGAUUUCUCUCUGGUGGGUGGUGGAGACUUGAGGGCAUGCCAGGAACAGAGAAUGAGGAGCAGCGUCCGGGCCGGAAGUUGGCUGUGGGCUAGUGGCUGGAAGGUGGUGGGGGGGACAAAUGGGGCAAGGGUUGACUGCAUUUAUCAAUGAAGGUAUGAAAGGCUGUUCUAGACUUAAUUAAAUAACGACUCAUAAAUAUUCAGCUCUGCAAAGCUGAGCCUCCACAAUGAUGGAUGUCAGGGACUAAAAGGCUUUCAAGGGGAGGACUCUGCAGAGACGUGGGCCCCCACACGUGUCAGAAUGGAAAGGGCACACUGCCCACAGCUUCCGCUAGCUUGUGACAUAUUGUUCUCUCGUACCAGCCUUGCAAGCCAAAUGCACUUUCAAGCUAGCGGUCUAGCUCCCUAAGGAAGAGAAUUCUCUCAGGACCUUGGAAUUUGUAGUGCAGUGAUCCCCUUUAUCCACGCUUCCGCAUUCCGCGGUUUCAGUUACCUGUGGCUAACCAUAGUCUGAAAAUAUUAAAUGGAAAACGACAGAAAUAAACAAUCUGUAAGUUGUAAAUUGUGCAGCCGUCUGAGUAGUGUGAUGUAAUCUGGCACUGUCCACUCCAUCCUUUUUGGGAGGUAAACAUUUCCUUUAUCCAGCAUGAAGCUGGAUCUGGAAGAGAGGUGCAGGAACAAGUGUGCGAUGGGACAAGUCUCCAAUAUAGGCUAUUCGACCAGGUACGAGCACUAGUGACCGAAGCCCAGGGCCUCUGCCUGUGUGCUCCUUAUUCUCCUUUACUUAGCUUCUACCACAGCUAAGAACUUGGACCAUGCCUCGAUCAUGUUGAGCUGCUUUGAGCCUCAAGGGCUUUCUCAAUAGGGCAGUAGCAUCUAACCUACC
Molecule: long non-coding RNA, 2048 nt
Filed under: Callithrix jacchus (white-tufted-ear marmoset)
Lineage: Eukaryota; Metazoa; Chordata; Mammalia; Primates; Cebidae
Description: lncRNA (ENSCJAG00000078433.1)
Source: RNAcentral